CAAUAAAAUAAUAAAAAACCUAUAAUCAUGAUUGAGUUAGAUAUAUAUAAUUUCUCUCUCUCUCUCUCUCUCUCUCCUCCCCCCCCCCCCCAAAAAAAAAGAGAACUUAGAAUUGAAGUGAUGAAAUCUCAACUGAAAACCAAUUAUACUGUUCAUGAUCGACAAACAAUAUUUUUGAUAUUUUCUUUUAUAUAAUUUUGACAAUUUCAGGCAAUGCCAAGAAAUAACUAAAAGACUACUUUAAUUUACAAAUGAAACUAUAUUUUGGAUAUCAAAACAAAAGAAUUGUUUCGCUGUACGCAUGAAAUUAUACCUAUCUUGCAUGCUGAUGCGUUCUUUUAACCAAAAUGGAAGUCCAUAAACUAAACUCAUACUCAAAAACUGAGGGACGUGUGAUAAUAAUUCUCAACGCCCCAAUCAUAUGUUUGCAGGCCCGUCUUUUUACUUUGAUUUAUUGCUUUCGUCUCGUGCUUUGAUUGUUGCUUUUUCAUUUAUAACCUUAUUCGAUCAGUUUCAAUUAGAUUUUGAGGCUCGAAGUUCAACAAUAACAAACAAUGUGGUUGUUUAAAGAAAUUAAUAAAAUUUAUGUUUUAGCAAGAAAAUAAAUCUAAAAUCCCCGAGAGUCGGCUAUAAAAUUUGACCAAAAAAAUAAAAAAUGCUAAAUCUCGAAGAAUCAGCUAUAAAAUCUGACAUAGCUUUAGAUAAUAGUAGAUGACACCUGAAUUUCGCUUUUGACACAAUGCAUAGCUUGUCGGCAAUAAUUUAAUUACAAGACAAACUAAAUUAACACGUUCUUUUCUUUCAAAGUAUCAUUUCAUUUGGAAAAUGCAGGUGUCUUCUGAAACAGUUUUUAAGGGGGGACUCACCCUCCCCUUCUGGAAUCAACGCUUGUCCUGCAGCACAUUUUUUGACGUUUACUCACGGCAAACAGUUUUGUCUCUUGCCACAUGGGUGGAGCUUUUUUGUCUCUUGCCACAUGGGUGGAGCUUUUUUUCCAAUAAAAUUUUUACUUUCAAAAGAUAUAUCACCGGCGAGGAGUUCUCUGAAAAAACAAAAAGCUUAAAGUUUUCGGAAUCUUUAUUAACUUUGUAUUUUUUUUAAAUAUACAUUUCA
Molecule: long non-coding RNA, 1113 nt
Filed under: Citrus x clementina
Lineage: Eukaryota; Viridiplantae; Streptophyta; Magnoliopsida; Sapindales; Rutaceae
Description: Citrus clementina (C. clementina) long non-coding RNA (CCLE_LNC002295)
Source: RNAcentral